This 237-nucleotide long non-coding RNA is filed under the name Gallus gallus (chicken). The record is from RNAcentral. Lineage: Eukaryota; Metazoa; Chordata; Aves; Galliformes; Phasianidae.
GUCUUUUUUGUUCCCCUCGUCUCUAAAUGUAAAUGGAUGGAAAGUCAAUGCAUCUUAACGGACAUGUUGACUCAUUUGUGGCUUAGCUGGAUUUGCUACCUCUCUGAGGCUUUUAUUUCCUUCUGUGUAUUUUUGAAGGCUAACUCAACCUUACUGAGGUGAAGUAUAGAUCUCUUGGGGAGAUGAUUUCCAGUGGACUGAAUAACAUCUGUGUUUUCAGAGUAUCUUCUGUUUUCU